RNAcentral lists this ribosomal RNA (377 nucleotides) under uncultured bacterium. RNAcentral's name for it is "bacterial SSU rRNA". It matches the Rfam family "Bacterial small subunit ribosomal RNA", at positions 523 to 898 of the family's 1533-position model. The record is from RNAcentral.
AUACGUAGGGUGCGAGCGUUAAUCGGAAUUACUGGGCGUAAAGCGUGCGCAGGCGGUUUUUUAAGAUAGGCGUGAAAUCCCCGGGCUCAACCUGGGAACUGCGCUUAUGACUGGAAGACUAGAGUAUGGCAGAGGGGGGUGGAAUUCCACGUGUAGCAGUGAAAUGCGUAGAGAUGUGGAGGAACACCGAUGGCGAAGGCAGCCCCCUGGGCCAAUACUGACGCUCAUGCACGAAAGCGUGGGGAGCAAACAGGAUUAGAUACCCUGGUAGUCCACGCCCUAAACGAUGUCAACUAGGUGUUGGGAGGGUAAAACCUUUUAGUACCGGAGCUAACGCGUGAAGUUGACCGCCUGGGGAGUACGGCCGCAAGGUUAAA